This is a long non-coding RNA of Sapajus apella (tufted capuchin), 496 nucleotides long. RefSeq lists it as uncharacterized. NCBI's taxonomy places the organism in Eukaryota, Metazoa, Chordata, Mammalia, Primates, Cebidae. The record is from RefSeq and is a predicted model, not a curated record. The transcript has 2 exons.
GAAGGUUGGAAAGGCCCUUCCAGCUUGGGCUUUUGCUGGUUUAAAAUGGAUUCCUGAGCCAGCCUCCCUGUCCGUGGACAGAACCGAAGCUACCCUCUGCCCUGCCUCUCUGCCCCCCAUGGUAUGAGUCUCUGUCUCAUCUGCCCCCAGAUCCCAGACACAGCCCUGGAGCCAAAAGAAGUGCAUCUGAGAAAAGUUGGAAGCCAGGGGCAGUGCUCAGGCAGUGUGGAGGCUGUGCCCAGAGCCAGCAGGGGACACAGUCACAGCCUCACUCUGCAGCACAAGAGAUUGAGCCUCAGCUGGAAUCCAGGGCUGGGUACCGAGCCAUACUGGCCCAGUGGGCCCCCUCCUGGGAUCGCAGGACUUGGAGCAGAAGAGUCCCUCCAGGGCUGAAGACUGGACACAGAAAACUCGGGAACUCUCAGCUGUCCUGUUUUUCACCUCGUGGAAUAAGCUGGACUUCAAUGAGAGCGAAUGGAGCUGACAAUUCCCAGAA